Molecule: transfer RNA, 69 nt
Filed under: Johnius belangerii (Belanger's croaker)
Lineage: Eukaryota; Metazoa; Chordata; Actinopteri; Sciaenidae
Description: tRNA-His
Rfam family: tRNA
About the family: Transfer RNA (tRNA) molecules are approximately 80 nucleotides in length. Their secondary structure includes four short double-helical elements and three loops (D, anti-codon, and T loops).
Source: RNAcentral
GUGAAUAUAGUUUAAUUAAAACAUUAGAUUGUGAUUCUAUUAAUAGAGGUUCAAAUCCUCUUGUUCACC